RNAcentral lists this ribosomal RNA (150 nucleotides) under Triticum aestivum (bread wheat). RNAcentral describes it as "partial small subunit ribosomal RNA". The record is from RNAcentral. Lineage: Eukaryota; Viridiplantae; Streptophyta; Magnoliopsida; Poales; Poaceae.
AUGUUGUUUGGGCAGGCUAAGAAGAGGAAGCGUAAAGCACAAUAUUCUGCUGCUAUGAAGAGGAAGGAGGCUGAACGGACAGGAAGAAAGAUGGCUGCUGUGGCAAGAGACCGGGCAUGGGUGGAAAAGCGCAGAGCUAAAUCAGAUUGA